This is a long non-coding RNA of Pan troglodytes (chimpanzee), 303 nucleotides long. RefSeq lists it as uncharacterized. NCBI's taxonomy places the organism in Eukaryota, Metazoa, Chordata, Mammalia, Primates, Hominidae. The record is from RefSeq and is a predicted model, not a curated record. The transcript is spliced from 4 exons.
CAUUCUAUUCCCUUGAAUACUCAAUCUCCUGUGUGGCUGCUGCAGGUCCUGGAAUGUUUUUAGGAUUUCCUCUCUAAAGGCCAUUCAAAAAGUGGGUGAAUAAUUCAGAGGCACUUGUCUUCAUUCUGUGCUGCUAUAACAGGCAGUGAUGCCGGUGCACCCUGGUGAGAAGGAGCAUGGCGUGAACAUCAGGAACCAGACUUCACCCUGGAGGAAAGGCUACAGGAUGAGGGAGGAUUUCUCGAGAGAUGAUGUGCGAGCUGAGGUCUGAAACAUGAGAAAAAUCCAGCUAUGGCAGGAGGU